CGAGAGAGCGUUGCCGCAGGCAACGACCCGAAGGGCGAAGCGCGCAGCGCUGAGUAAUCCUUCCCCCACCACCA
This 74-nucleotide small RNA is filed under the name Escherichia coli. RNAcentral's name for it is "partial RtT sRNA". It matches the Rfam family "RtT RNA", at positions 58 to 130 of the family's 130-position model. Rfam says of the family: This family represents a bacterial cis-regulatory element known as RtT RNA. The record is from RNAcentral. Lineage: Bacteria; Pseudomonadati; Pseudomonadota; Gammaproteobacteria; Enterobacterales; Enterobacteriaceae. RNAcentral also lists the same sequence under 1 other name.